Molecule: long non-coding RNA, 4000 nt
Filed under: Lactuca sativa (garden lettuce)
Lineage: Eukaryota; Viridiplantae; Streptophyta; Magnoliopsida; Asterales; Asteraceae
Description: long non-coding RNA (LSAT_LNC009594)
Source: RNAcentral
UGCACUAGGGCGACUCGGCGAGUCUACACGUGUCCACAGACUCACUCUUAGACCCUCUAUUGGCACGUCGAGUACUCCCCUGACUCGACGAGUUCCACCGGGCAAGAAUCACGGGGCCACCCCGACUCAACUCGCCGAGUCCCAAGAACAACUCGGCGAGUUCCAACUCAAACUCAGACCCCUGACUCUCCCUGACUCACCGAGUCAUUCCCCUAACUCAACAAGUCCAUUCACUGAGUGAUUUACGGGAAACCUUCAAACUACUCGCCGCGUCUGUUCUUCGGACUCGGCGAGUUCAUGCCAUGCACAAACUCAAAACGAAUUCUGAGGUUAGAUCUGUUCCAUACAAUCAUAGAUCUAGCCUCCCCAUGAUAAACCCGUAAAGUUCGAACCUUGACACACAUAUAACAUAGAAAUGGUCCAAAAUGGUGAUUUAGCCCCAAAAAUGACAUUCUAAGCUCAUGACUUCCAAAAUGGCUCAUAAAGCUCCAAGGGUUAAGGUCUAUGGACCUCUUUGAGUCCAGAUCCAAAGCACAAACUCGAAAGGGGACUAAAUACUUUACAUACUCUUCUUCUAAAGGGUCUAAAAACCCUAACUCUAAGAAUCAACACCCAAAACUGGAGAAGGUCCGAAGGAGUACCUUUAUAUGAAGCCCUUGAUCUCUGAAGACACUAGAUUUGCACUUCCUUCAGCCUUCUUUGCCAUGGUCACCUUCUCCUUCAAAUUUCACCAACAAAAGAUCAAGAAUAGCCUCUCUUCACCUUACAAAAAACCUAAGACUCUCUCUGGGGUGUGGUAGCCACAAUGGACGGCCAUAAGGGCCUUGAUAUAGGUCUCAAACCCUGGAAAUUAGGGUUUCAUUAAACAGCGUGGACUCGCCGAGUCCAGCUGUGAACUCGCAUCCAAAUCCGCGACCAUACUCGGCGAGUCUAGACGCUAACUCACCGAGUUCCCCCACAAAACCCAAAAAUAAAGGGACAAAAUCUCAUACCUGAAAUCCAGGUGUUACAGAUUUAAGUAAAGAUUUGAUGAGCAUUGUUUCAUAUCUGAGUUCCACAUUAAAAGUCUAUGCAAUUUAGCAAAGCUUUGAUGAGCAUUGUUAAAUUCUUGAGUUCCACAAUAGAAGUCUAUGCAAUUUAGCAAAGCUUUGAUGAGCAUUGUUAAAUUCUUGAGUUCCACAAUAGAAGUCUAUGAAAUUUAAGCAAAGCUUUGAUGAGCAUUGUUUCAUUCUUUAAUGUCACAUUAGAAGUCUAUGCAAUUUAGCAAAGCUUUGAUGUGCAUUGUUUAAUUCUUGAGUUCCACACUAGAAAUAGUCUUCGCAAUUUAGCAAAGCUUUGAUGAGCAUUGUUUAAUUCAUGACUUCCACAAUUGAUGUGGUGUUUUCAGUUUAGCAAAGCUUUUAUGAGCAUUGUUUAAUUCUUGAGUUCUACAAUAGAAGUCUAUGCAAUUUACAAAGGUUUUGAUGAGCAUUGUUUAAUUCUUGAGUUCUACAAUAGAAGUCUAUGCAAUUUACAAAGGUUUUGAUGAGCAUUGUUUAAUUCUUGAGUUCCACAUUACAAGCAGUGUUCGCUAUUUAGCAAAGCUUUGAUGAGUAUUGUUUCAUUCUUGGGCUCUAUGUUAGAAGUCUAUGCAAUUUUGCAAAGCAUUGAUGAGCAUUGUUUAAUUCUUGAGUUCCACAUUACAAGCAGUGUUCGCUAUUUAGCAAAGCUUUGAUGAGUAUUGUUUCAUUCUUGGGCUCUAUGUUAGAAGUCUAUGCAAUUUUGCAAAGCAUUGAUGAGCAUUGUUUAAUUCUUGAGUUCCAUAAUAUAUAUAGUCUUUUCAAUUUAGCAAAGCUUUGAUGACCAUAGUUUAAUUCUUGAGUUCCAAAAUCGUGUAUGCAAUUUAUGCAAAGCUUUGAUGAGCAUUGUUUCAUUAUUGAGUUCCACAUUAGAAGUCUAUGCAAUUUAGCAAAGCUUUGAUGUGCAUUGUUUAAUUCUAGAGUUCCACAAUAGAAGUAAUCAUCGCAAUUUAGCAAAGGUUUGAUGAGCAUUGUUUAGUUCUUUAGUUCCACAAUAUAAGUCUAAGCAAUUUAAGUAAAGCUUUGAUGAGCAUUGUUUCAUUAUUGAGUUCCACAUUAGAAGUCUAUGCAAUUUUGCAAAGUUUUGAUGAGCACUGUUUAAUUCUUGAGUUCCACGAUAAAAGUAAUCCUCGCAAUUUAGCAAACCUUUGAUGAGCAAUGAUUAAUUCUUAAGUUCCACAAUAGAAGUCUAUACAAUUUAAGUGAAGCUUUGAUGAGCAUUGUUUCAUUCUUGAGUUCCACAUUAGAUGUCUAUGCAAUUUAGCAAAGCUUUGAUUUGCAUUGUUUAAUUCUUGAGUUCCACAAUAGAUGUAGACUUUGCAAUUUAGAUAAGCUUUAAUGAGCAUUGUUAAAUUCUUGAGUUCCACAAUAGAAGUCUAUGCAAUUUAAGCAAAGCUUUGAUGAGCAUUGUUUCAUUCUUUAGUUCCACAUUAGAAGUCUAUGCAAUUCAGCAAAGCUGUGAUGUGCAUUGUUUAAUUUUUGAGUUCCACAAUAGAAGUAGUCUUUGUGUCACACCCCGAAACCGAAGGCGGAAACGUUCUGGGGCGGAGGACAUCAUGAAUAUCGCAACCAAUGUACAUAGUAAGCGUAGUAAACACAAAGCAAUACAUUACAUAAUGUUAUUACAUUUGUUUGAAAUCAAAGUGUUACAUGUGUCAUACAUAUACAUAUCAUAUGAACAAAAGUAAAGACGUGUCUUCUACGUACUCCGUCUUCGCCAAAAGGAUCGCUAGUACCUGUCUAAUGUGGACCUGAGAAUACAAGCAGUUUGAAAAUCAACAUAAAGCUGGUGAGUUCAUAAGACGUUUGUUUUCUGAAAAUGUACAAGUUUCCUUUGGUUCUCCGAAAAAGUUUGUUAUCCAAGAAAAUCCCAUAUUUUCUUAUAAGUGUAGUUUAGUUAUCCAUUAGUUACACGGUCUAGUUAAGAACAGUUCAGUUAUCCCAGGAAAAACCCUUAUUUUCCUAAAAGUAAAGUUUAGUUAAUGUUCUGAAUUUCCGUUAAAUACAACUGUGUAUAGUCUAAUACGUAAGACUAUAUAUUGAAAUUCAUGGGAUUACUAUCUCGUACUAGAUAUAAGAUAACCUUAAUACACAAAGACUAUAGAUUGAAAGUCAUGGGAUUACCGUCCCGUACUAGAUAUAAUACUAUGGAAAUACCAUCCCGUACUAGAUAUAAGAUAGCUUGAGAUACACGAAACUAUAGAUAGAUAUAGAUUGAAAACCAUGGGAUUACCAUCUCGUACUAGAUAUAGAUUGAAAACCAUGGGAUUAUCAUCCCGUACUAGAUAUAGAUUCAAAACCAUGGGAUUAUCAUCUCGUACUAGAUACAAGAAACUAUAGAUAGAAGAUAGAUAUAAAAUCAAAUCCGUGAAUAAACUUAUAUUAAUACGUAUUGUGAGUCGGGUAACCGUGCUGAUGCGACACCGAGACCUCCUUGACGUUCGUCAGACGUCGGACAAUUUCUAGAAUUUGUCACCCCAGGCGUGCCCGCCUAACUGUAGCUAGCAGUUUAGGUGUGGGAUUGUCAGUCCCAAAUAGAUCUAUUCACAAAUUCCAUUCUCUCCCUCCAGGAGACUCUGGUUACACUUCCGGGGAGGAUUUACUGAUAACCCAAAGGGUUUAAUAAUGACGAAUAUCACAAGCUAAUAUUAAAUUAUUCACGGUGUUCUCCGACGUUAUCAAACAUACUAAUCAUUUUGGAACAUAAUACGGUAAAAACAGUUUAAUACAAAGAAACUAUCUGGUAUAAUACUUUACAAUAACCAGAGAUAAACUGAAUCAGACAUAGUUUAUCUAUUAACAUUACAUGAAAUCCGAAUUCAUAAAACGAGAACUGAAGAUCCCAAAUUAUUCCCAUAAUAAUUUGAUUGAUUUGAUUGUUUCCUUUACUGAAAUCCAUGUAGUUGUAUUCGAUAAAACAUCCCUUAUGCUCCGUAUAAUAC